ACGAACGCUGGCGGCGUGCUUAACACAUGCAAGUCGAACGGUGAAGCGCCUUCCUUUUUGGUGGGUGUGGAUGAGUGGCGAGCGGGUGAGUAACACGUGAGUAACCUGCCCCCUUCUUCUGGAUAACCGCAUGAAAGUGUGGCUAAUACGGGAUAUUCUGGGUCUGUCGCAUGAUGGGUCUGGGAAAGAUAUUGUUUCGGUGGGGGAUGGGCUCGCGGCCUAUCAGCUUGUUGGUGGGGUGAUGGCCUACCAAGGCGGUGACGGGUAGCCGGCCUGAGAGGGUGGACGGUCACACUGGGACUGAGACACGGCCCAGACUCCUACGGGAGGCAGCAGUGGGGAAUAUUGCACAAUGGGCGCAAGCCUGAUGCAGCGACGCCGCGUGAGGGAUGGAGGCCUUCGGGUUGUGAACCUCUUUCGCCAGUGAAGCAGGCCUGCCUCGUUUGUGGGUGGGUUGACGGUAGCUGGAUAAGAAGCGCCGGCUAACUACGUG
RNAcentral lists this ribosomal RNA (493 nucleotides) under uncultured bacterium. RNAcentral describes it as "partial 16S ribosomal RNA". It matches the Rfam family "Bacterial small subunit ribosomal RNA", at positions 29 to 507 of the family's 1533-position model. The record is from RNAcentral.